GUUUGAUCCUGGCUCAGAGUGAACGCUGGCGAUGUGCUUAACACAUGCAAGUCGAGCGGAUUGAAUUGGUGCUUGCACUAAUUCAGUUAGCGGCAGACGGGUGAGUAAUGCAUGGGAAUCUGCCCUAUAGUGCGGGAUAACUACUGGAAACGGUAGCUAAAACCGUAUACAGCCGAGAGGUGAAAAAUUUAUUGCUAUAGGAUGAGCCCAUGUGGGAUUAGCUAGUUGGUGAGGUAAUGGCUUACCAAGGCUUUGAUCCCUAGUUGGUCUAAGAGGAUGAUCAGCCACACUGGAACUGAGAUACGGUCCAGACUCCUACGGGAGGCAGCAGUGGGGAAUAUUGGACAAUGGGCGAAAGCCUGAUCCAGCGACAUCGCGUGAAUGAUGAAGGCCUUAGGGUUGUAAAGUUCUUUUAGUGGGGAAAAUAAUGAUGGUACCCACAGAAAAAGCCCCGGCUAACUUCGUGCCAGCAGCCGCGGUAAUACGAAGGGGGCUAGCGUUACUCGGAAUUAUUGGGCGUAAAGCGUGCGCAGGCGGCCACGUAAGUUGGAAGUGAAAUCCUUAGGCUUAACCUAAGAACUGCUUUCAAAACUACUUGGCUUGAGUACCAGAGAGGAUAGUGGAAUUCCUAGUGUAGAGGUGAAAUUCGUAGAUAUUAGGAGGAACACCGGUGGCGAAAGCGACUAUCUGGCUGGAAACUGACGCUGUUGCACGAAAGCGUGGGGAGCAAACAGGAUUAGAUACCCUGGUAGUCCACGCAGUAAACGAUGAGUGCUAGAUAUUAGGGUAUAUCCUUAGUAUCGCAGCUAACGCGUUAAGCACUCCGCCUGGGGAGUACGGCCGCAAGGCUAAAACUCAAAGGAAUUGACGGGGACCCGCACAAGCGGUGGAACAUGUGGUUUAAUUCGAUGCUACGCGAAAAACCUUACCAGGUCUUGACAUGCUAAUCAUAUUCUUAGGAAACUAAGAAGUCGGUUCGGCCGGAUUAGCACAGGUGCUGCAUGGCUGUCGUCAGCUCGUGUCGUGAGAUGUUGGGUUAAGUCCCGCAACGAGCGCAACCCUUACCCUUAGUUACCAACAGAUAAUGCUGGGCACUCUAAGGGGACUGCUAGCGAUAAGCUAAAGGAAGGUGGGGAUGACGUCAAGUCAGCAUGGCCCUUAUGACCUGGGCUACACACGUGUUACAAUGGUAGUAACAACGAGAUGCAAUAGGGUGACCUGGAGCAAAUCUUUAAAUACUAUCUCAGUCCGGAUUGCACUCUGCAACUCGAGUGCAUGAAGUCGGAAUCGCUAGUAAUCGCAGAUCAGCAUGCUGCGGUGAAUACGUUCCCGGGUCUUGUACACACUGCCCGUCACGCCAUGGGAGUUGGUUUUGCCUUAAGCAUGUGAGCUAACCGAAAGGAGGCAGCAUACCACGGCAGGGUCGAUGACUGGGGUGAAGUCGUAACAAGGUA
This 1454-nucleotide ribosomal RNA is filed under the name metagenome. RNAcentral's name for it is "bacterial SSU rRNA". It matches the Rfam family "Bacterial small subunit ribosomal RNA". The record is from RNAcentral.